GGGGCCGUUCCCAUGGCAACGCGGCCGCCCCGCCGCCGAGGCACAAAGGAGCGCCGGGGCCGGGCGGCAGGUGCGGAGCCCCGGGCUGCCGCGGCCCGGAGGGGGAGCAAUCCUGGGACAAAGCACCGCGUUUAGAGCAGCGGGAGGGCUCGCUGCGCGACGGAGCGUCCUCCUCGCGGUCCCUGCGGACCCCUGAGAACUCCCCGGGUACGAGAAGUUCCAACCGCCGGCGGCCGCCAGCUGGCACCGUAAACGGUAGUCAAAUCCUUCAGGUGAAAGAAGAGCCUAACUCGCUGCCCGCGCUUGCAUUCUUACCCUAGGAACAAAUGCUUACAGGCAGGGGUUAGUUAGCACAUACACGGCUGGGUGACUUGAUGGCUUCGCGUGAAACAGCAGUCCUUGCACUUGAGAAGAAGUAAAGCAGAGGAAGUGUAGCACGGUGGACCUGAUUUCACCAAGCGUUUUUAUUUUGCACGUAUGAAGUGUGGAAGUCUGUGGAGCAGCGGGACUACUGUGAAAUAAUACACUGAUUGCAGGGCUAAAAUGAGACUUAAGUAGCUGGAAAAUGGGUUGGAAGAAGCAACAACAAACCUCUGCCAUUUUGCCUACACGACGUGGUCUUUGCUUUGCUUUUUGAAAGGAAGUGGAUCUUCACACAGACUUCUUUUCUUACAUUUCCUGAGAUACAAUGUCAGUAUCCCCUCAGAUUUCCUUGAAUUACACAGCCAGUUUUUUCUCUGCCACUACACCGACAUCUUUAUCUAAUGACCACUUUGUUUAAAUUAGAAAUGUUUUCUUGCCCACAGAAAGUAACACUUUGACAUGUGAGGAAGAAAUCAGAGGCACAGAUCAGGAGGAAAAAGCACGCAAACAGCCCUGUGUUCUCUAAAGCAAGGGUCUCUUCUCCCACACCUUGCUUUUUGAGCAGGCCUAAAAUCAUCAUGGCUAUUCCCAUAUAACAGCAACAGUAUCUUACAAUUACAUAAUAUCUUGUGGAGCCAGCACACCUCAGAGCACUGGCAAUGAUGUCUUAGCAACAAUUCUGGGAAUUUCCUUAGUGAGCACUACUGAGGCACCUCGCCAUUGCUUCGCAAGGAUGAUCUUGCCAGCUUUUCCCACUCAACAAAUGACAACAGCAGCAAGUUACAGUGCUCAGCUUUGCCCCCACUUUGCUUCAACACCAACAAUGCACGCAGCACUCAAGGUGCACGGCUGGCUGUAAUGGAACAGCUCCUUUUGCUCUGCAUUGGGUGACUACUUUCACCUUCUCAAGUCAUGACCUACAUGAGGAUAUGAGCUUGGAGCCCAGAAAGAUGUACAAUGUGAGCCACGGAGCUUCCUCUCACAACAGCUUCCACGAG
Molecule: long non-coding RNA, 1361 nt
Organism: Meleagris gallopavo (turkey)
Lineage: Eukaryota; Metazoa; Chordata; Aves; Galliformes; Phasianidae
Source: RefSeq, a predicted model, not a curated record